AUGUAUGCUAAUUGGAGAAAAGAACACAGGGACAAGGUCUUUCAGAAAAUGUUCUGGGCAUGUGCGAAGUCAUCGGAUAGAAGCCAAUUCAAUUACAAUAGGGCUAAGCUUGCACAAAACACAGUAGAAGGUGCGAGAGACAUGAUGAAAACCGCGCCAAAGCAUUGGUGUAGGGCCUACUUUAGGAUUGGCUCUUUCUAUGACUCAGUUGAGAACAACAUGUGUGAGUCAUUUAAUAAUGCCAUCAUGAGAUCAAGGUUCUACCCUGUAGUAACGACAAUGGAAAUCAUUAGAAAGAAGGUCACUGUGAGGAUCUAA
Molecule: ribosomal RNA, 318 nt
Filed under: Triticum aestivum (bread wheat)
Lineage: Eukaryota; Viridiplantae; Streptophyta; Magnoliopsida; Poales; Poaceae
Description: partial small subunit ribosomal RNA
Source: RNAcentral